Molecule: long non-coding RNA, 1176 nt
Organism: Rhopalosiphum maidis (corn leaf aphid)
Lineage: Eukaryota; Metazoa; Arthropoda; Insecta; Hemiptera; Aphididae
Exons: 3
Source: RefSeq, a predicted model, not a curated record
UGAUGUAGACAUCUCAGGAGUCCAAUCAAAGAUCAAGAAGUUCAACUAGUUCAAGGAGCACCGUGUGAAACUGAUUCUAAUAUGGUUCAUCCUCCGUUAUCAAUACUAACCUUAUACGAUAAUGAAUUUCAAAAUUGUUUUCUAGAUGAAACUGCGGAAUCCAUAUUUGAGAGGCUUAAUCGCCUUUUUGAAAAAUUAGAUAACCCAGAUAGACCCAGUCCUAUAUAUAUGAAUAAUGCUACGUAAGUUUACAUCAGAAUUUUUGUCAAUUGGACUUCAAUUUGAACAAUUUUCAAUAUAAAAAACAUUUGGAAUAUGUUUGUUAUUUUUCUUUAUUCGACACGACUCCAUCGUACUUUAUCGACAACCAGUUGUUGGGCCAUUACAAUAUCAAAAACAUUGCUCUAAACGAUAUUGAACAUACAAAUCAGAAUCUUCUAAUGAAUUGGUAAAUUUGUCAGAUACAAUAAACCUAAGAAUAUCUGAAAAUAGAUUUUGAUGAUUUGCCUCACUAAACUACUACAGUUUGUUAUAAUAUAUUACUUAUCUUUAAAUUAUAUAUUAGACAAAUUUUAAUAAAAUCUGUACAAACAACACACUAAAUGCUAUAGAAGUAAUAGUCAGAAGAACAGGUAAAUACAUUAAACCGUCAUAUACGUUUUUAACAAAUUUAAGAAACUUCCCUUAUCACAUGGGAAAAACUAUAUUCAACAAUUUAAGUAACGAUGCGAAGAGUCUAAUAACAAGUUUAUGUUAAAACCAAUGAUACAGUCAAUAAAAAUCAAAUAAAAAAAGGCUAUAAAUAAGAUAGUUAAUGAACUAGAUGAGAAUGUGUAUAAAUGAGAUUUUAAAAAGUGAAUAUGUAUAAUAAUUCUAAUAUCUUAUCAGAAUGCGUAUAUGUUAAAUGUGUUACUAAAAUAUGUUCCACUAAAUUUUUUACUACUUUAUAAUAUUAAUUAAUUAAGUCAUAUCUUUAAUUGUAUAAGUAUCUUUUUUAAAUUUUUUUUUACUAUUAUAAGAAUUUUAAUUUAUAAAAACUCCGUAUACCAGAUACAAGCUUAGCUCAGUUGGUAUAUGUAUCAGCUAUUGUUAAUGUAUUCUUAAUGUAAUAAUUUACUUAUUGUAUCAUAUAAUUGUAAUUAAUUUUGGCUGAAAUAAAUAAAAUAUUUUGGUCGG